GACGAACGCUGGCGGCGUGCUUAACACAUGCAAGUCGAACGGAAAGGCCCUGCUUUUGUGGGGUGCUCGAGUGGCGAACGGGUGAGUAACACGUGAGUAACCUGCCCUUGACUUUGGGAUAACUUCAGGAAACUGGGGCUAAUACCGGAUAGGAGCUCCUGCUGCAUGGUGGGGGUUGGAAAGUUUCGGCGGUUGGGGAUGGACUCGCGGCUUAUCAGCUUGUUGGUGGGGUAGUGGCUUACCAAGGCUUUGACGGGUAGCCGGCCUGAGAGGGUGACCGGCCACAUUGGGACUGAGAUACGGCCCAGACUCCUACGGGAGGCAGCAGUGGGGAAUAUUGCACAAUGGGCGGAAGCCUGAUGCAGCAACGCCGAGUGCGGGAUGACGGCCUUCGGGUUGGAAACCGCUUUCGCCUGUGACGAAGCGUGAGUGACGGUAAUGGGUAAAGAAGCACCGGCUAACUACGU
This 467-nucleotide ribosomal RNA is filed under the name uncultured bacterium. RNAcentral describes it as "partial 16S ribosomal RNA". It matches the Rfam family "Bacterial small subunit ribosomal RNA", at positions 28 to 506 of the family's 1533-position model. The record is from RNAcentral.